This 298-nucleotide unclassified non-coding RNA is filed under the name uncultured Pseudopithomyces. Its description in RNAcentral is "partial contains 5.8S ribosomal RNA, internal transcribed spacer 2, and large subunit ribosomal RNA". The stretch from base 1 to 102 matches the Rfam family "5.8S ribosomal RNA", at positions 53 to 154 of the family's 154-position model. Lineage: Eukaryota; Fungi; Ascomycota; Dothideomycetes; Pleosporales; Didymosphaeriaceae. The record is from RNAcentral.
AUGCGAUAAGUAGUGUGAAUUGCAGAAUUCAGUGAAUCAUCGAAUCUUUGAACGCACAUUGCGCCCCUCGGUAUUCCGUGGGGCAUGCCUGUUCGAGCGUCAUCUACACCCUCAAGCUCUGCUUGGUGUUGGGCGUCUGUCCCGCCUCCGCGCGUGGACUCGCCCCAAAUUCAUUGGCAGCGGUCCUUGCCUCCUCUCGCGCAGCACAUUGCGCUUCUUGAGGGGCUCCGGUUCGCGUCCAACAAGCACAUUUACCGUCUUUGACCUCGGAUCAGGUAGGGAUACCCGCUGAACUUAA